RNAcentral lists this long non-coding RNA (235 nucleotides) under Fukomys damarensis (Damara mole-rat). RNAcentral describes it as "lncRNA (ENSFDAG00000027441.1)". Lineage: Eukaryota; Metazoa; Chordata; Mammalia; Rodentia; Bathyergidae. The record is from RNAcentral.
CACUCAGCACCACCUGUGCUUCCCCUAAGGAAGCCUCUUGCCUUUGGUCGCGUGGAGCCGGGUCCUGUGUGUGUCGAGGCAGGACGCACGUCAUUUUCGUGGGAAAUGGAAGUUUCCUGGAUUGUGUUACACACAGCAUUUGAUCAGGAUUAGCUCCAGCGGAGAGUGUCAGGAAUCUGGCUGGGAAGGCUAUGAUGUAGAAGGGGUAUAUAACAAACUGAGGGCUACAACAGAC